CCUACGGGAGGCAGCAGUAGGGAAUCUUUCACAAUGGGCGAAAGCCUGAUGGAGCAACGCCGCGUGCAGGAUGAAGGCCUUCGGGUUGUAAACUGCCUUUAUAAGCGAGAAAUAUGAUGGUAACUUAUGAAUAAGGAUCGGAUAACUACGUGCCAGCAGCCGCGGUCAUACGUAGGAUCCGAGCAUUAUCCGGAGUGGCUGGGCGUAAAGAGUUGCGUAGGUGGCAUAAUAAGUAGCUAGUGAAAUCUGGUGGCUCAACCAUUCAGACUAUUAGCUAAACUGUUAAGCUCGAGACCGUGAGGGGUAACUGGAAUUUCUAGUGUAGGAGUGAAAUCCGUAGAUAUUAGAAAGAACACCGAUAGCGUAGGCAGGUUACUGGAGCGGUUCUGACACUAAGGCACGAAGGCGUAGGGAGCGAACGGGAUUAGAUACCCGAGUAGUC
This 442-nucleotide ribosomal RNA is filed under the name uncultured bacterium. RNAcentral's name for it is "partial 16S ribosomal RNA". It matches the Rfam family "Bacterial small subunit ribosomal RNA", at positions 338 to 795 of the family's 1533-position model. The record is from RNAcentral.